RNAcentral lists this ribosomal RNA (398 nucleotides) under uncultured bacterium. Its description in RNAcentral is "bacterial SSU rRNA". It matches the Rfam family "Bacterial small subunit ribosomal RNA", at positions 29 to 429 of the family's 1533-position model. The record is from RNAcentral.
AUUGAACGCUGGCGGCAUGCUUUACACAUGCAAGUCGAACGGCAGCACGGGCUUCGGCCUGGUGGCGAGUGGCGAACGGGUGAGUAAUGCAUCGGAACGUACCGUGUAAUGGGGGGAUAACGUAGCGAAAGUUACGCUAAUACCGCAUACGCCCUGAGGGGGAAAGUGGGGGACCGCAAGGCCUCACGUUAUACGAGCGGCCGAUGUCGGAUUAGCUAGUUGGUGGGGUAAAGGCCUACCAAGGCGACGAUCCGUAGCGGGUCUGAGAGGAUGAUCCGCCACACUGGGACUGAGACACGGCCCAGACUCCUACGGGAGGCAGCAGUGGGGAAUUUUGGACAAUGGGCGCAAGCCUGAUCCAGCCAUGCCGCGUGAGUGAAGAAGGCCUCGGUUGUAAG